GAUGAACGCUGGCGGCGUGCCUAAUACAUGCAAGUCGAGCGAACAGACGAGGAGCUUGCUCCUCUGACGUUAGCGGCGGACGGGUGAGUAACACGUGGAUAACCUACCUAUAAGACUGGGAUAACUUCGGGAAACCGGAGCUAAUACCGGAUAAUAUAUUGAACCGCAUGGUUCAAUAGUGAAAGACGGUUUUGCUGUCACUUAUAGAUGGAUCCGCGCCGCAUUAGCUAGUUGGUAAGGUAACGGCUUACCAAGGCAACGAUGCGUAGCCGACCUGAGAGGGUGAUCGGCCACACUGGAACUGAGACAUGGUCCAGACUCCUACGGGAGGCAGCAGUAGGGAAUCUUCCGCAAUGGGCGAAAGCUUGACGGAGCAACGCCGCGUGAGUGAUGAAGGUCUUCGGAUCGUAAAACUCUGUUAUUAGUGAAGAACAAAUGUGUAAGUAACUAUGCACGUCUUGACGGUACCUAAUCAGAAAGCCACGGCUAACUACGUG
RNAcentral lists this ribosomal RNA (497 nucleotides) under uncultured bacterium. RNAcentral's name for it is "partial 16S ribosomal RNA". It matches the Rfam family "Bacterial small subunit ribosomal RNA", at positions 28 to 507 of the family's 1533-position model. The record is from RNAcentral.